RNAcentral lists this ribosomal RNA (541 nucleotides) under uncultured Sebacinales. RNAcentral describes it as "eukaryotic LSU rRNA". It matches the Rfam family "Eukaryotic large subunit ribosomal RNA", at positions 77 to 620 of the family's 3401-position model. Lineage: Eukaryota; Fungi; Basidiomycota; Agaricomycetes; Sebacinales. The record is from RNAcentral.
CCCCUAGUAACGGCGAGUGAAGAGGGAAAAGCUCAAAUUUUGAAUCUGGUGUCUUUGACUCCCGAGUUGUAAUCUAGAGAAGUGUUUYCCGUGUCGGAYCGUGUACAAGUBCCCUGGAACGGGGCGUCAUAGAGGGUGAGAAUCCCGUAUAUGCCACGGACUACCGAUGCUCUGUGAUACACUCUCAACGAGUCGAGUUGUUUGGGAAUGCAGCUCAAAAUGGGUGGUAAAUUCCAUCUAAAGCUAAAUAUUGGCGAGAGACCGAUAGCGAACAAGUACCGUGAGGGAAAGAUGAAAAGCACUUUGGAAAGAGAGUGAAACAGUACGUGAAAUUGUUGAAAGGGAAGCGUUUGAAGUCAGUCGCAUCUGUCGGGAUUCAGCCGGGCUUAUGCCAGGUGUACUUCUUGUCCGAYGGGUCAGCAUCAAUUUCGACCGGGGGAAAAAGAYGUGCGGAAUGUGGCUGUCUUCGGGCAGUGUUAUAGCCKCAUGUUGUAUGYCUCGGUUGGGAUUGAGGAUCGCAGCGCGCCUCAUGGCCAGGGGU